GUUUUCCCACCCACUAACUGAGAGUUCCUGUGGAGAAGUGACAUGUUGCAGCUUUGAGCUCCAGGGAUCAGAUUCCUUAUGCUUUGCUGCUAUCCAGCAUAGUGUUCUCAAACCUAAGCCAAUUCACAUUAAUAGAACACUUUCAUGUGAUCCAGAGAACCUUACGUAGAAGAGGAGUAAAAGGCAGCAAAGGACCUUGUGGGAUCAGGGGAAGAAGUGUGUGUUGAGACAUACUUAGAUAGGUAGAUAGAUAAUUUAAAGAAGACUAGCCAGUGAAUGAUCCAGGUGAUCUGCAAAGCUUCAGGUCAAAAUGGGCAAUGAAAACAGCAGCCCAGAAAAUCAGGACAUUCCUCCUGUUACAGAACCUGUGCAGCCACCCAGUAAUGACAGAGAGAUAAAAAAGAAAAAACAGAGGAAAAAAACCAGAGACAGAUCUGUUGACCAAGAAGGUUUUGAUACCUCGUCUUUAGAUUCUGCUGUUUCAUUACCGGUGCCAGAUAAUGGCUCGUCCUUCAUGCCAGGAGAAGCAAGAGGGAGCUGCUCUUUAAUGUUUGACCAGAAGGAAAGGGCAUCUAACCUAUUACUUGCCCCAAAUAAUCUUCUUUUUACUGGACUUGAUGUAAACGAAGAUUUAAGGUCCCAAACUCCAGUCAUAAGCAGCCUUAGUAAUGAAGGCCUUUGUAGCAACGAAGAAUCACCCGGUGCAAAAACACUUUCGGUGUCUCCAGAGGUAACAACACUGGAAAACAUCCCGUGUGAAGAAAAAGAAGGAGGAGCUAUAUCUGGCUUCCUGGAAUGGGCUGAAGGAACAAAAGACAAAAGACAAGUUGACUGUGCCAAGGAAUGUGCUGCUUGGAGUCUUGAGGGUAGCGCUGGGGAACUGCCUACCCUGGUGCCAUCUAUGAAUUCUACAAAGGACAAUGGCAGAAGUGCUGUUCCUGAUCUAUAUCUGGACAGCGGCUUGAAUGUUGAGCUGUCUGCUACCACUUUUGCAAUACGGGAUAAAAGAGAUCCUGAUAACUCUAGCUCAGAAAAUAAUUCCUCAACAGAUGUCACUUGGAUGUCAGGAGCUGGGGUAGCACAAACCAUUUCAAGCGAAUUAGACCCAUUAUGGCAGAUUGAACAGCUGAGUGACAAGACAAAAGCACAUGUUAUCUCAUUACCCGAGAGGGAAGGGGGAGGUUGUUCUAUCACUGAAGGGAACAGCCAGGAGGCAGGAUUUUGGGAAGUGGGUCACAAGGAAGAGGCACUGGCAAAACCAGGUGGACAGGACACAGAUGGUCUAGACAGCCUGUUAAUGGAGCAGGAAACCUUAAUCCCAAAUUAUCCCACCAUGGGAGGUUCAGACAUGAAAAAAUAUGGAGCAGUUGUUGAUGGCCAGAGUUCUGUCAAGUGUGGCGAUGCCACCAGUGAACUCAAGAGUGAUGCUGUAACAAGCAAAAAAUAUGAACUCCAGGAAGAGUUUACUGAGCAGAAUAGUCAGCAGUCUUACGCAGCUCCUGUUAUGCCCUUGAACCCAUCAAAUCUGUCUCUGAAAACUACAGUAGAAGCAAAAAAUGAGAGUUCUGUAUUUGAAAAAGAACAGCCAGAUCAAACUGAAAGUGAAAAAACAGAAGGCCUAUUAUUUACAGAAAUAAAAAAUCACAGUGUGGAUUUACUAGUUAGCUGUGGGCCUUCUGCUGUGUCCUUAUUGCCUGAUGAAAACCAGAAGCAAAAAGCAAGCAUUGUGUCUGAGAACAGAGGAGAGCAAGUUGGCAGCAAUGAAACCACACACGUUAAGGAUGUGAGUGGGGGAAACGUCACUCUAGCUGACCCAGAAAAUCUUACGUGUUUUAUGAAGGAAGAUUCCAUUAAAAAUAAAAGAUCAUCACUGGUGGGAAGUGUAAGAGAUUUUGCAAGUGAGAAUGAGCUUACCACACACAUUAAAAAAGAGAGUAUAGUACCUGAGAAAAACAAAGAUGGUUCUUUGGGAGAUAGUGGAAGUCAAGACAGGCUGGACGUAGCAAGUUUGAAUACACAGAAAGAGGCAAACUCUUUCCAAGGGGUGCCGCUAAGCUUUGAUAUUGACAAAAGGCAAGAAAGCCCCGAGAUGCACUGGGAGGAUUACUUUUUCCAAAGUGGUACCAGUGGUAAAGAUUUAGAAGCAGACUUUGGUGCAGAAUGUCGUCUGAGAACACCUUAUGACCAUUCACCUGAAUUAAGUCAAGGUUCAGAGAGAAAGAAAACAGUCCCAUAUGAAAUAGAGGAUAAAAGCCUUCUCUCUGCUGAAGCGCAACAAUUACAAGAGCAAAAACGUUCACAAAGCGGCACCCUUUUACCAGAAGGCACACUACUCAACUUUCCAGCCAGUGAAAUGACAGGGAAAGUUUGUUCAGCAGAUGCGCAUGGUUCACUGGUGCUGCACUCGGAGAACAACAUUGUUAUGCAAAACAAGCGUGAUGAAUCCUGGGAGCACACAUUUUCUCAAAGAACUGAAUGGGAGUUGGAAGGCCACACUACGCAUGAACUAGCAUCUGAAAGCAGCGCAACAUCGGCAGAAAUAACACGAGUUCCUGAAGCAGAAUUGAAGCAUCAAAACUUAGAUGAGUGGGCCAAGGUUGCUGAAUCCACUGCAACAGAAAAAGCACAAGUCCAGGAAGAUACACCUCUUUCUGAAAGCAAAGCAUGUAGCCCAAUGGUUUGUGGCGAUGCUGACAGUGUCCCUGUGACUGUUCCGGAACAAAGCAAUGAUGUGGAUCAGAAAGAAAGUAAUGAACCUGAUCAGGAGGAAUACGAAGCCGAAAUGAAAAGUCAGGUUGUUGACAUGACGUUGGCACAGAAACCCCAAAGCAAAGUGAACUCCCUGCAGCAAGCAGAGCAGGAACAAACGAGUGAAGAAAAUGACCAAAGUCUGAAGAAAUUGUAUUCAGGCAGCCCACAGGCAUCGGUGAGCAUUGUGGAAACUGGUUCCCUGCAGCCAACAUUUAGAGGCGUGCACAACAGCAACUUAAAAGAGAAUAAUCCAGAAGAGAGUAAUGAUGGUAAAGCAUCUCUGGAAACUCUUCAAGGGGAAGCUGGAGAAAGGCAACAGGUGGUGGCCAUUUUGAUGCCCUCUCCACAAGUGGAAUCUAAAGUUAGUCCAGAGUCCCCUGGCUCCAUCUGCAGUAAUCAACAGCACACUGCAAAAACAGAACUCAAAGAUUCCAGUCACAACAAUCUUCCAACAGCAACAAGUCCUGGAGAACAAAAGCACAAUGAAACACCUCCUGCACUGGAGUUAAAUCAACCCAGUAGCCACCAGGGCAUGUGUGAAAGUGAACGGACAAUAACAGGAGAUGUUUUUGAUAAACCCCAAACAGUGUCUGUUGGAUUCGAGGCGAAGCCAAUUGAUCCCGAAGCUCUUCCAGUUGAAAAGGCAUCUUGGUCAAAUGUAUCUGAGUCUGCAAGAGACAGUGUGCAAGACAGGCGCCUGACAACUCAAAUAAACCAAAAAGUAGAAGAAAGUUUUCCUAGCAAGGGAGCCUUAAGUGAGUUCAGGCAGGAGGUUUAUGAUUCUCUGGAUUCAGAGAGUCUUUGGGAAGAAAAAAAUCUCAGCUAUGCCUUUGCCAAAGUGCCUGAUACAAGCAAGCAGCCAAGUAGUUUAUGCAAUCUGACAGGCAGCCCAGAUGAAAGUGCUGUUGGUGUUACAGAGUACGUUCCAGAGAUGCAGAAAACAGUCACUGCCAAUGCUGAACAGCCAGAGACCUUGCUAGUGGGUUUUGAAAUAAAUGGCUCUGAUGACAAUUAUAAAUCGAACAGCGUUGACCUUAACCUACCAACAGAACCGGAAGAAAAAGGUUCAAACAUAGAAAUAAAUGAGAAUCCAAGUUUAAAGGAGGAAACCACCCCCAAAGAUGAACCUGGAGAAAUAAAUUAUGAAAAGGAGUUGAUUUUCACAGCUGCUGAAAAAGCAGGAAUACAGAAAUAUCCUCCUGUGUCAUCUGGACUCACAGUAAUCCCUGCCAGUAGUACUUUGCACAAAACAGACCAUAUUGAAAAGCUGGAGUUUCUACCUGUUGGCUCACAAGCAGAACUAAGAGGGCUUUCUGUGCCAGCAUUUUCACAUGAUCAACAAACCAGAAUAAACCAGGAACCUACAAAUGGCAUGAAUGAUGUCAUUGUGGGCGAAUUACAAAACAAGGAACUCGAAGUCACAGCCUGCCAAAAUAUCUUAGGUACCACUCCCAGUUUACAGACUGUUGCUGGAGCUGCUACACCCAUACACCUAGGUGAUGUUUUAGCAGAGGAAGGCUCAACAGAUCAAAGAAUGUCUGAAGUGCUAAAUUCAGACAACAUUCCUUCAGAGACAGUCCCAGAGAAAAAGUGUGUGAUUCCAGACCAAGGGUCCCAAUCAGAAGAGAGUGCACCACUGGCAGAAAUUCUACCAGCUCCCUUGCAAGACUCUUGUGAGACAGGGCAGUUAGAAGGAAGUUUGUCACCAUUUAAUUUUGAGAAGCUGCAGACUGAGAUCUCUGCAAUUAAAACAAAAGGAGCAAAAAGUGAUGUAAACUUCAAAGCCCAGCAGUUUGACAGCUCGGUAAAUUCUCUCUUCAGCCUUUCAAGCUUAGAAGAGAAGCUUCUAAGCCUUUCAUCUUCUGGUAAGCAAGCAGGCUGUAAUGAGGGUACGGCAACAAAUAUCGGCUGUGUAGAUGACAAGUGCAGUACGAUCACAGAAAGCACAGGGAAAGCAGGAAACAGCAAAUGCACUUUUGCAGAGGAUUUCAGCAUCCCCAAGAUGGAAAUAGAGACCUCCAAGCAGUCCACAGCGACUUCCGAAAAAGAGCAGAACGACCUGUCUUCCAGGACCUUUGGCAUUGGCUUUUUUGAUUUCAGAAAGCAUAUAAGCAAAAUAUUUGAGAAGACAGUGCCAAGUGCUUCGACAGCAGAGUUGGCUCCCCUUUCAGCUGAAACCAGUACAGGUGAAGGAGACAGCCUGGCAGCUAAAGAAAUAAGUGAGUGCAAGCAUGGAUUGAGCAAAGGGGAUGAAGUCAACAGAAAUAGAGAAGCAGGCUGUGACCAGACAACAGAAGGAUGCAUGUUACCAUCAGAAGCUGGGGCACUUGAAAGAUCUGCUGAGGAAAAGAUAUUGCAGGGGGGAAAGCCAGUGACAAUCACUCCAGAAUACUACUUGCCAGGUGCCUUUUCGGAAGAUAUCACUAUCCAGAAAUCCUGUUUAAGUGAAGAACCUUUGACAAGUGCACCAAAGGUAGACUGUCAGGUGGAUAGCUUGAGCAGUAGCAAGGGGACAGCAGAAGAAUGUGGAUGUGUUAGUGCUAUAAGCAGUGACAAUGAUGUGAAUCAGGUGAGCUUGGAAGCAGAAGUGCAGCAUCCAGUAAAUUCUCAUACCUCAGAAACAGAUCAUUUACUGUCUGGUAAUGAAGUCUCUUUAUGUAUCUUUGCCUCAAAAGGAGAGGUUCUAGAGAGUGAUUUUGACAAAACAACAAUGGCAGAAGUGAAGGAAAGCAAUUUAAUUAGUCAGUGUGACACAGGUUUAUCUAAGGAAGAGCUAAUACAUUAUGGAAACCAACAGCACUACCCAAUGCCUGGUGAAGACAAGGGAAAUGAAGAGAAUGUUGUUGAUUUAGGUGACACAUCAGCAUUGCCAUCUCUUCUUGAUAGUCUUGAUGUUCACCAAGAACAACAGCCCAGGAUAUUGCCUGCGGAAGACCAGCAAAACUCCACCUGCAGUGAUCUUUUGGAUGAAAAUACAGUUAAUGACAAAGUAUUCAUGACACCAAAAGCCCUGGAAUGUACAGAAUUCUUGCCCAUUUUAGUUGAUGCACCAGAACAAGAGAAAAUACAGGACACAGCAAUACAUGGAUUAAUAGAUUACCUCAAAAAUGAAAUGGAUCCUAAUGGUUCCUCCAUAGGUGAUGGCAAACCAGAACACAGCAGUGUGAGUGAGGCUGGUGUAGAAGAAACAGAUGACACCAAGUUGAGCACCAUAGAAAAUGAACCAUGUAUUUCUAUUGACACCCCUAAAACAGGUAUUACAGGGACAUUAUUCACCAACGACCAUGACUCAGUUUUGCAAACUACCAAAUGCAAACAGGAGGCUGAUGCAACAAAGCUUUCUGAAGCCAUUCAAAGAAGGGAGCAAAAUGUAUGUAUAGAUGAUGAAGCUGCUUCUGCAAGUCAAUGCAAAGAAGAACAUUUGGCAGAUGAGAAGUCCCUUUUGGAUGUCCAGGAAAAAGGGUCAAGCACUUCGCUCAGUGAAUAUGAACAGUGUCUCCCUAGUGAAUCUCAGAACAUGGCUACAGAUGAAUUACUUCCCGAAAGCAAUUUUCGUGAGCUCUGUCAUUCUCUCCUUGCUGUACCUGAGAAGGACUCUAUAGCCGUAGCAGUCAAAGACAUCUCAAAUGAGGAAAGAGAUGACAUCAGAGUAGAAAGCUCCUCUCUCUCUGUGGAUAUCGUCAAACAGGCACCAGAUGUGGCUACAUCUGAACAGCCACUAACUACUGUUCUUUCUGAUGAACAUGAGACUGCUCAAGUUUCUGCUGAUCUUACCGAACCAAGCAUUUCCCAGUCUGGUUGUUACCAAGAUAGAGACAGCAGUGUCACAUCUGUUCCUGAAUUUCAGUCUUUGACUCUCCAGCCAGUUACCAAGGUAGAACAACCUGCCUAA
Long non-coding RNA from Pogona vitticeps (central bearded dragon), 6643 nucleotides. The record is from Ensembl. NCBI's taxonomy places the organism in Eukaryota, Metazoa, Chordata, Lepidosauria, Squamata, Agamidae.